Molecule: ribosomal RNA, 408 nt
Filed under: uncultured rumen bacterium
Lineage: Bacteria
Description: bacterial SSU rRNA
Rfam family: Bacterial small subunit ribosomal RNA
Source: RNAcentral
GUGGGGAAUAUUGGGCAAUGGGCGAAAGCCUGACCCAGCGACGCCGCGUGAGGGAAGACGGUCUUCGGAUUGUAAACCUCUUUCAGCAGGGAAGAAGAAAGUGACGGUACCUGCAGAAGAAGUCACGGCUAACUACGUGCCAGCAGCCGCGGUAAUACGUAGGUGGCGAGCGUUAUCCGGAAUUACUGGGUGUAAAGGGUGUGUAGGCGGGUCGGCAAGUCAGACGUGAAAAUCAAAGGCUCAACCUUUGACUUGCGUUUGAAACUGUCGAUCUUGAGGAUGGGAGAGGUAAACGGAAUUCCUAGUGUAGUAGUGAAAUGCGUAGAUAUUAGGAGGAACACCGGUGGCGAAGGCGGUUUACUGGACCAUAACUGACGCUGAGACACGAAAGCGUGGGGAGCAAACAGG